AGUCUUCUGAAUCCUUGCCGAGGUUUCGUCAGAUGCCAGACCAUCAGAACUGGUUAGACUCCUAAGAUAAGUGGAGCA
Molecule: non-coding RNA, 78 nt
Organism: Schistosoma mattheei
Lineage: Eukaryota; Metazoa; Platyhelminthes; Trematoda; Strigeidida; Schistosomatidae
Source: Rfam